UUAGGGGUCAAAUUUUGUAGGAAGUUGGAACAGCGCCCUUAGCGGCAAACGUAGGCAAAUGUUCCAACUCCAUACACAUUUGAGUUA
Molecule: non-coding RNA, 87 nt
Organism: Bombyx mori (domestic silkworm)
Lineage: Eukaryota; Metazoa; Arthropoda; Insecta; Lepidoptera; Bombycidae
Source: Rfam